GAUGAACGCUGGCGGCGUGCUUAACACAUGCAAGUCGAACGGAAAGGCCCUGCUUUUGUGGGGUGCUCGAGUGGCGAACGGGUGAGUAACACGUGAGUAACCUGCCCUUGACUUUGGGAUAACUUCAGGAAACUGGGGCUAAUACCGGAUAGGAGCUCCUGCUGCAUGGUGGGGGUUGGAAAGUUUCGGCGGUUGGGGAUGGACUCGCGGCUUAUCAGCUUGUUGGUGGGGUAGUGGCUUACCAAGGCUUUGACGGGUAGCCGGCCUGAGAGGGUGACCGGCCACAUUGGGACUGAGAUACGGCCCAGACUCCUACGGGAGGCAGCAGUGGGGAAUAUUGCACAAUGGGCGGAAGCCUGAUGCAGCAACGCCGCGUGCGGGAUGACGGCCUUCGGGUUGUAAACCGCUUUCGCCUGUGACGAAGCGUGAGUGACGGUAAUGGGUAAAGAAGCUCCGGCUAACUACGUG
Molecule: ribosomal RNA, 468 nt
Filed under: uncultured bacterium
Lineage: Bacteria
Description: partial 16S ribosomal RNA
Rfam family: Bacterial small subunit ribosomal RNA
Source: RNAcentral